Molecule: ribosomal RNA, 481 nt
Filed under: uncultured bacterium
Lineage: Bacteria
Description: bacterial SSU rRNA
Rfam family: Bacterial small subunit ribosomal RNA
Source: RNAcentral
UCCUGGCUCAGGAUAAACGCUGGCGGCGCACAUAAGACAUGCAAGUCGAACGGACUUAACCAUUAGUUUACUAUUGGAGCGGUUAGUGGCGGACUGGUGAGUAACACGUAAGCAACCUGCCUAUCAGAGGGGAACAACAGUUAGAAAUGACUGCUAAUACCGCAUAUGCCUUGAGUAUCGCAUGGUACAAGAGGGAAAGGAGCAAUCCGCUGAUAGAUGGGCUUGCGUCUGAUUAGAUAGUUGGUGGGGUAACGGCCUACCAAGUCAACGAUCAGUAGCCGGACUGAGAGGUUGAACGGCCACAUUGGGACUGAGAUACGGCCCAGACUCCUACGGGAGGCAGCAGUCGGGAAUAUUGCGCAAUGGAGGAAACUCUGACGCAGUGACGCCGCGUGCAGGAAGAAGGUUUUCGGAUUGUAAACUGCUUUAGACAGGGAAGAUAAUGACAGUACCUGUAGAAUAAGCUCCGGCUAACUACGUG